AACGAACGCUGGCGGCAGGCCUAACACAUGCAAGUCGAGCGCCCCGCAAGGGGAGGCGGCGGACGGGUGAGUAACGCGUGGGAACGUACCUUUUGCUACGGAAUAGCCUCGGGAAACUGGGAGUAAUACCGUAUGUGCCCUUUGGGGGAAAGAUUUAUCGGCAAAAGAUCGGCCCGCGUUGGAUUAGGUAGUUGGUGGGGUAAUGGCCUACCAAGCCGACGAUCCAUAGCUGGUUUGAGAGGAUGAUCAGCCACACUGGGACUGAGACACGGCCCAGACUCCUACGGGAGGCAGCAGUGAGGAAUAUUGGACAAUGGGCGCAAGCCUGAUCCAGCCAUGCCGCGUGAGCGAUGAAGGCCUUUAGGGUUGUAAAGCUCUUUCAGUGGGGAAGAUAAUGACUGUACCCACAGAAGAGCCCCGGCUAACUCCGUGCCAGCAGCCGCGGUAAAGUACAGUGU
RNAcentral lists this ribosomal RNA (458 nucleotides) under uncultured bacterium. Its description in RNAcentral is "bacterial SSU rRNA". It matches the Rfam family "Bacterial small subunit ribosomal RNA", at positions 29 to 533 of the family's 1533-position model. The record is from RNAcentral.